AAAUUGAAGAGUUUGAUCAUGGCUCAGAUUGAACGCUGGCGGCAGGCCUAACACAUGCAAGUCGAGCGGCAGCGGGAAAGUAGCUUGCUACUUUUGCCGGCGAGCGGCGGACGGGUGAGUAAUGCCUGGGAAAUUGCCCAGUCGAGGGGGAUA
Molecule: ribosomal RNA, 153 nt
Filed under: Aeromonas dhakensis
Lineage: Bacteria; Pseudomonadati; Pseudomonadota; Gammaproteobacteria; Aeromonadales; Aeromonadaceae
Description: partial 16S ribosomal RNA
Rfam family: Bacterial small subunit ribosomal RNA
Source: RNAcentral